GCCUAAAGCGUCCGUAGCCGGCUUUGUAAGUUUUCGGUUAAAUCCAUAUGCUCAACAUAUGGGCUGCCGGGAAUACUGCACAGCUAGGGAGUGGGAGAGGUAGACGGUACUCCAUAGGAAGGGGUAAAAUCCUUUGAUCUAUGGAAGACCACCAGUGGCGAAGGCGGUCUACCAGAACACGUUCGACGGUGAGGGAUGAAAGCUGGGGGAGCAAACCGGAUUAGAUACCCGGGUAGUCCCAGCUGUAAACUAUGCAAACUCGGUGAUGCAUUGGCUUGUGGCCAAUGCAGUGCCGCAGGGAAGCCGUUAAGUUUGCCGCCUGGGAAGUACGUACGCAAGUAUGAAACUUAAAGGAAUUGGCGGGGGAGCACCACAAGGGGUGAAGCCUGCGGUUCAAUUGGAGUCAACGCCAGAAAUCUUACCUGGGGAGACAGCAGAAUGAAGGUCAAGCUGAAGACUUUACCAGACAAGCUGAGAGGUGGUGCAUGGCCGUCGUCAGCUCGUGCCGUGAGAUGUCCUGUUAAGUCAGGUAACGAGCGAGAUCCCUGCUGCUAGUUGCUACCAUUACUCUCCGGAGUAGUGGGGCGAAUUAGCGGGACCGCCGCAGUUAAUGUGGAGGAAGGAGGGGGCCACGGCAGGUCAGUAUGCCCCGAA
This 654-nucleotide ribosomal RNA is filed under the name uncultured archaeon. RNAcentral's name for it is "bacterial SSU rRNA". It matches the Rfam family "Archaeal small subunit ribosomal RNA", at positions 508 to 1160 of the family's 1478-position model. The record is from RNAcentral.